This 902-nucleotide ribosomal RNA is filed under the name uncultured bacterium. RNAcentral's name for it is "bacterial SSU rRNA". It matches the Rfam family "Bacterial small subunit ribosomal RNA", at positions 52 to 946 of the family's 1533-position model. The record is from RNAcentral.
CACAUGCAAGUCGAGGGGCAGCAUGAUUGAAGCUUGCUUCAAUUGAUGGCGACCGGCGCACGGGUGAGUAACGCGUAUCCAACCUUCCGUACACUCAGGGAUAGCCUUUCGAAAGAAAGAUUAAUACCUGAUGGUAUGAUGAGAUUGCAUGAUAGCAUCAUUAAAGAUUUAUCGGUGUACGAUGGGGAUGCGUUCCAUUAGGUAGUAGGCGGGGUAACGGCCCACCUAGCCUACGAUGGAUAGGGGUUCUGAGAGGAAGGUCCCCCACAUUGGAACUGAGACACGGUCCAAACUCCUACGGGAGGCAGCAGUGAGGAAUAUUGGUCAAUGGACGAGAGUCUGAACCAGCCAAGUAGCGUGAAGGAUGAAGGUCUUACGGAUUGUAAACUUCUUUUAUAAGGGAAUAAAACCUCCCACGUGUGGGAGCUUGUAUGUACCUUAUGAAUAAGCAUCGGCUAACUCCGUGCCAGCAGCCGCGGUAAUACGGAGGAUGCGAGCGUUAUCCGGAUUUAUUGGGUUUAAAGGGAGCGCAGACGGGUCGUUAAGUCAGCUGUGAAAGUUUGGGGCUCAACCUUAAAAUUGCAGUUGAUACUGGCGUCCUUGAGUGCGGUUGAGGUGUGCGGAAUUCGUGGUGUAGCGGUGAAAUGCUUAGAUAUCACGAAGAACUCCGAUUGCGAAGGCAGCACACUAAGCCGUAACUGACGUUCAUGCUCGAAAGUGUGGGUAUCAAACAGGAUUAGAUACCCUGGUAGUCCACACGGUAAACGAUGGAUACUCGCUGUUGGCGAUAUACGGUCAGCGGCUUAGCGAAAGCGUUAGGUAUCCCACCUGGGGAGUACGCCGGCAACGGUGAAACUCAAAGGAAUUGACGGGGGCCCGCACAAGCGGAGGAACAUGUGGUU